Hipposideros armiger (great roundleaf bat) is the source of this 517-nucleotide non-coding RNA. NCBI's taxonomy places the organism in Eukaryota, Metazoa, Chordata, Mammalia, Chiroptera, Hipposideridae. The record is from the annotation of a RefSeq genome assembly.
AGACAGGAGCCCCAGCCCCGGGAUCCCCAGGUGUCCCCAUUCUGUGAUCAGGACUGAACACAGACGACGCACCAUGGACUUUGGGCUCAGCUGGGUUUUCCUUGUGGCUAUUUUAAGAGGUGUCCAUUGUGAGGUGCAGCUGGUGGAGUCUGGGGGAGGCUUGGUGCAGCCUGGGGGGUCUCUGCGACUCUCCUGUGCAGCCUCUGGAUUCACCUUCAGUAGCUACGGCAUGAACUGGGUCCGCCAGGCUCCAGGGAAGGGACUGGAGUGGGUGGCAGUUAUAUGGUAUGACGGAAGUCAGAAAUACUAUGCCGACUCCAUGAAGGGCCGAUUCACCAUCUCCAGAGACAAUGCCAAGAACACGCUGUACCUGCAAAUGACCAGCCUGAGAGCCGAGGACACGGCCGUGUAUUACUGUGUGAAGGACACAGUGAGGGGAAGUCAAUGUGAGCCCAGACACAAACCUCCCUGCAGGGGACAGGGGGUUGGGCUGCAGGGGGCGCUCAGGACACACUGA